GACGAACGCGGGCGGCGUGCUUAACACAUGCAAGUCGAACGGAAAGACCCUGCUUUUGUGGGGUGCUCGAGUGGCGAACGGGUGAGUAACACGUGAGUAACCUGCCCUUGACUUUGGGAUAACUUCAGGAAACUGGGGCUAAUACCGGAUAGGAGCUCCUGCUGCAUGGUGGGGGUUGGAAAGUUUCGGCGGUUGGGGAUGGACUCGCGGCUUAUCAGCUUGUUGGUGGGGUAGUGGCUUACCAAGGCUUUGACGGGUAGCCGGCCUGAGAGGGUGACCGGCCACAUUGGGACUGAGAUACGGCCCAGACUCCUACGGGAGGCAGCAGUGGGGAAUAUUGCACAAUGGGCGGAAGCCUGAUGCAGCAACGCCGCGUGCGGGAUGACGGCCUUCGGGUUGUAAACCGCUUUCGCCUGUGACGAAGCGUGAGUGACGGUAAUGGGUAAAGAAGCACCGGCUAACUACGUG
This 468-nucleotide ribosomal RNA is filed under the name uncultured bacterium. RNAcentral's name for it is "partial 16S ribosomal RNA". It matches the Rfam family "Bacterial small subunit ribosomal RNA", at positions 28 to 507 of the family's 1533-position model. The record is from RNAcentral.